Molecule: transfer RNA, 48 nt
Filed under: Eurycea quadridigitata
Lineage: Eukaryota; Metazoa; Chordata; Amphibia; Caudata; Plethodontidae
Description: partial tRNA-Met
Source: RNAcentral
UUUCGGGCCCAUACCCCAAAAAUGUGGGUUAAUUUCCCUCUUUUACUA